This 299-nucleotide signal recognition particle RNA is filed under the name Saimiri boliviensis boliviensis (Bolivian squirrel monkey). RNAcentral's name for it is "Metazoan signal recognition particle RNA (ENSSBOG00000015090.1)". It matches the Rfam family "Metazoan signal recognition particle RNA". Rfam says of the family: The signal recognition particle (SRP) is a universally conserved ribonucleoprotein. It is involved in the co-translational targeting of proteins to membranes. The eukaryotic SRP consists of a 300-nucleotide 7S RNA and six proteins: SRPs 72, 68, 54, 19, 14, and 9. The record is from RNAcentral. Lineage: Eukaryota; Metazoa; Chordata; Mammalia; Primates; Cebidae.
GCCCCGCGCGGUGGCGCGUGCCUGUGGCCCCAGCUACUCCGCAGGCUGAGGCUGGAGGAUCACUUGAGCCCAGGAGUUCUGGGCUGUAGCGCGCUAUGCCGAUCGGGUGUCCGCACUAAGUUCGGCAUCAAUAUGGUGACCUCCCAGGAGCGGGGGACCACCAGGUUGCCUAAGGAGGGGUGAACCGGCUCAGGUUGGAAACGGAGCAGGUCAAAACCCCCGUGCUGAUCAGUAGUGGGAUUGCACCUGUGAAUAGCCACUGCACUCCAGCCUGGGCAACACAGCGAGACCCCAUCUCU